This 1253-nucleotide ribosomal RNA is filed under the name Chryseobacterium sp. BFE58O. Its description in RNAcentral is "bacterial SSU rRNA". It matches the Rfam family "Bacterial small subunit ribosomal RNA", at positions 125 to 1385 of the family's 1533-position model. The record is from RNAcentral. Lineage: Bacteria; Pseudomonadati; Bacteroidota; Flavobacteriia; Flavobacteriales; Weeksellaceae.
CCUGCCUUUAUCAGGGGGAUAGCCUUUCGAAAGGAAGAUUAAUACCCCAUAAUAUAAUGAGUGGCAUCACUUAUUAUUGAAAACUCCGGUGGAUAGAGAUGGGCACGCGCAAGAUUAGAUAGUUGGUAGGGUAACGGCCUACCAAGUCAGUGAUCUUUAGGGGGCCUGAGAGGGUGAUCCCCCACACUGGUACUGAGACACGGACCAGACUCCUACGGGAGGCAGCAGUGAGGAAUAUUGGACAAUGGGUGAGAGCCUGAUCCAGCCAUCCCGCGUGAAGGACGACGGCCCUAUGGGUUGUAAACUUCUUUUGUAUAGGGAUAAACCUUUCCACGUGUGGAAAGCUGAAGGUACUAUACGAAUAAGCACCGGCUAACUCCGUGCCAGCAGCCGCGGUAAUACGGAGGGUGCAAGCGUUAUCCGGAUUUAUUGGGUUUAAAGGGUCCGUAGGCGGAUCUGUAAGUCAGUGGUGAAAUCUCAUAGCUUAACUAUGAAACUGCCAUUGAUACUGCAGGUCUUGAGUAAAGUAGAAGUGGCUGGAAUAAGUAGUGUAGCGGUGAAAUGCAUAGAUAUUACUUAGAACACCAAUUGCGAAGGCAGGUCACUAUGUUUUAACUGACGCUGAUGGACGAAAGCGUGGGGAGCGAACAGGAUUAGAUACCCUGGUAGUCCACGCCGUAAACGAUGCUAACUCGUUUUUGGGUUUUCGGAUUCAGAGACUAAGCGAAAGUGAUAAGUUAGCCACCUGGGGAGUACGUUCGCAAGAAUGAAACUCAAAGGAAUUGACGGGGGCCCGCACAAGCGGUGGAUUAUGUGGUUUAAUUCGAUGAUACGCGAGGAACCUUACCAAGGCUUAAAUGGGAAUUGACAGGUUUAGAAAUAGACUUUUCUUCGGACAAUUUUCAAGGUGCUGCAUGGUUGUCGUCAGCUCGUGCCGUGAGGUGUUAGGUUAAGUCCUGCAACGAGCGCAACCCCUGUCACUAGUUGCCAUCAUUCAGUUGGGGACUCUAGUGAGACUGCCUACGCAAGUAGAGAGGAAGGUGGGGAUGACGUCAAAUCAUCACGGCCCUUACGCCUUGGGCCACACACGUAAUACAAUGGCCGGUACAGAGGGCAGCUACCUAGCGAUAGGAUGCGAAUCUCGAAAGCCGGUCUCAGUUCGGAUUGGAGUCUGCAACUCGACUCUAUGAAGCUGGAAUCGCUAGUAAUCGCGCAUCAGCCAUGGCGCGGUGAAUACGUUCCCGGGCCUUGUA